UACGGAGGAUGCGAGCGUUAUCCGGAUUUAUUGGGUUUAAAGGGUGCGUAGGCGGCGAGUUAAGUCAGCGGUAAAAGCCCGGGGCUCAACCCCGGCCCGCCGUUGAAACUGGCUGGCUUGAGUUGGGGAAAGGCAGGCGGAAUGCGCGGUGUAGCGGUGAAAUGCAUAGAUAUCGCGCAGAACCCCGAUUGCGAAGGCAGCUUACCAGACUGCGACUGACGCUGAAGCACGAGAGCGUGGGUAGCGAACAGG
RNAcentral lists this ribosomal RNA (252 nucleotides) under uncultured Bacteroidales bacterium. Its description in RNAcentral is "partial 16S ribosomal RNA". It matches the Rfam family "Bacterial small subunit ribosomal RNA", at positions 524 to 776 of the family's 1533-position model. Lineage: Bacteria; Pseudomonadati; Bacteroidota; Bacteroidia; Bacteroidales. The record is from RNAcentral.